Molecule: ribosomal RNA, 253 nt
Filed under: uncultured bacterium
Lineage: Bacteria
Description: partial 16S ribosomal RNA
Rfam family: Bacterial small subunit ribosomal RNA
Source: RNAcentral
GACGAACCGAGCGAACGUUGUUCGGAAUCACUGGGCGUAAAGGGUGCGUAGGCGGGUCUUUAAGUCAGGGGUGAAAUCCUGGAGCUCAACUCCAGAACUGCCUUUGAUACUGAGGAUCUUGAGUCCGGGAGAGGUGAGUGGAACUGCGAGUGUAGAGGUGAAAUUCGUAGAUAUUCGCAAGAACACCAGUGGCGAAGGCGGCUCACUGGCCCGGUACUGACGCUGAGACGCGAAAGCGUGGGGAGCGAACAGG